GACAUCACUGGAACAUUAGGGAAGUGGAAACACAGCUGCCUGCUCUAGAGUAUGGGUUGCCUUUGUGUCUGGAAUGUGUCUGACGUCCUGAUCCCUGUGUCCAUUUCAGGGAGCCUUGGGAGGAGCCUGAGUCACUGAUGGAAUUGGACAGUGCAUGGAGAUGCUUCAGCAGGACGAGGGUUUCUUACCUGUUACGUAUGGAUAAUAGCAUUACCUUAAGGAUUAUGGUGAAGAUACAACGUCCAAAUAUGAGCACAGUUUUGAGCAAAAUGCCUUGUACGAAUUGUGCUGAAAACUCAUCCCUGUGUGACCUCAAUGUCAUUGGAGGACAGUGCGGGCUGCAGUGAGGCACGCCUUCAAAUGGGAUUGAUCCAGUCCUCGUUCCUUCACUUCCACAUGAAUGCUGAGCGGCCCAGGAUCACACCCAGUGCACCCACAACUCAGGCAAGUCCAGCAGCCAAUCCUAGGAGAGCUGGGCUACAGAACAGUCUCCCAAGUUCCAGGCUCACAAAACCUCGGUGGGGAUGGAAGCUGAGAAAGUGAGGAGGUGGCUCAGGGGAUUGCUCUUUCCUACUCAUUCCUCUCAUGUCAAACUCACCUUCUGCUGCACCACUGAGGA
RNAcentral lists this long non-coding RNA (619 nucleotides) under Rhinopithecus bieti (black snub-nosed monkey). RNAcentral describes it as "lncRNA (ENSRBIG00000046553.1)". Lineage: Eukaryota; Metazoa; Chordata; Mammalia; Primates; Cercopithecidae. The record is from RNAcentral.